UACGGGGGGGGCAAGCGUUGUUCGGAAUUACUGGGCGUAAAGGGCUUGUAGGUGGCCAACUAAGUCAGACGUGAAAUCCCUCGGCUUAACCGGGGAACUGCGUCUGAUACUGGAUGGCUUGAGUGUGGGAGAGGGAUGCGGAAUUCCAGGUGUAGCGGUGAAAUGCGUAGAUAUCUGGAGGAACACCGGUGGCGAAGGCGGCAUCCUGGACCAUUACUGACACUAGAAAGCGAAAGCCAGGGGAGCAAACGGG
RNAcentral lists this ribosomal RNA (253 nucleotides) under uncultured bacterium. RNAcentral describes it as "partial 16S ribosomal RNA". It matches the Rfam family "Bacterial small subunit ribosomal RNA", at positions 524 to 776 of the family's 1533-position model. The record is from RNAcentral.